Long non-coding RNA from Gossypium arboreum, 777 nucleotides. RefSeq lists it as uncharacterized. NCBI's taxonomy places the organism in Eukaryota, Viridiplantae, Streptophyta, Magnoliopsida, Malvales, Malvaceae. The record is from RefSeq and is a predicted model, not a curated record. The transcript is spliced from 3 exons.
ACUAAAGCCUCCUUUGGUUUACCAGUGAAGACCAGUGUAGUGCAAUGAGGGAUAGUAAACUCACUGGUAUGCUGUUUGGUUCAACAGCACAGUGCAGUGAAAACUUAUUUCAGCCACACUGAUAUGCUGAAAACAGGCUGGAGGAUUCAGCUGCAGUGAAAGCCAGUAUAAUUGUAGGUAUUUUUUUGAGACAAACAUACCCAUACUUUUAUUUAUUAUUUUACCAUUUUAGCCUUAAAACUUAAAUUAAUUUCUUCCGCAACCACAGUUAUUUUCAGAUUUGGAAACGGAACAGCCAUUUCCUUUUUCAUAUUUGAGAAGUAAAACACUAAUUUCUUCCCUCUUUUUUGCUUUGUUCUUGAUUGUGGCUGCUUUUUGAAGGUUGGAGGCUCUGAGGUGCCUACUUCAUUUGUUAGUGUGGAAGCAGGCAAGAUGGUAAAGACAUGAAAAUUUGUGGAGGGAGAUAGUACCUUAGCAACAAAAGUUGUUUGGGAUGAUGAGCUGACGUUGAUAUUUUAUGAGCUUUGCGUGAAUGAAGUCAAUGCUGGUAAUAGACCAACAACUCAUCUAAACUCAAAAGGAUGGGAAAAUGUCGUUGCUCUUUUUCAAGCAAAAACACAAAAAAAAAUUAUGAAAAACCUCAAUUGAAAAACAAGUGGGAUACAUUAAAAAAGGAAUGGAGGUUAUGGAGGGAGUUGCUUAAGGAAUCUAUAGGUAUUGGAUGGUGUCCAUCUAAAAAGACGGUCGAUGCGACCGAAGAAUGGUGGGCUGAAAAAA